RNAcentral lists this ribosomal RNA (301 nucleotides) under uncultured bacterium. RNAcentral's name for it is "partial 16S ribosomal RNA". It matches the Rfam family "Bacterial small subunit ribosomal RNA", at positions 509 to 809 of the family's 1533-position model. The record is from RNAcentral.
CAGUCGCCACGGGAAUACGGAGGGUGCAAGCGUUAUCCGGAUUUAUUGGGUUUAAAGGGUCCGUAGGCGGACUUAUAAGUCAGUGGUGAAAGCCUGUCGCUUAACGAUAGAACUGCCAUUGAUACUGUAAGUCUUGAGUAUAUUUGAGGUAGCUGGAAUAAGUAGUGUAGCGGUGAAAUGCAUAGAUAUUACUUAGAACACCAAUUGCGAAGGCAGGUUACCAAGAUAUAACUGACGCUGAGGGACGAAAGCGUGGGUAGCGAACAGGAUUAGAUACCCCAGUAGUCCCUGUCUCUUAUAA